GGUUAAGCGACUAAGCGUACACGGUGGAUGCCCUGGCAGUCAGAGGCGAUGAAGGACGUGCUAAUCUGCGAUAAGCGUCGGUAAGGUGAUAUGAACCGUUAUAACCGGCGAUUUCCGAAUGGGGAAACCCAGUGUGUUUCGACACACUAUCAUUAACUGAAUCCAUAGGUUAAUGAGGCGAACCGGGGGAACUGAAACAUCUAAGUACCCCGAGGAAAAGAAAUCAACCGAGAUUCCCCCAGUAGCGGCGAGCGAACGGGGAGGAGCCCAGAGCCUGAAUCAGUGUGUGUGUUAGUGGAAGCGUCUGGAAAGGCGCGCGAUACAGGGUGACAGCCCCGUACACAAAAAUGCACAUAUUGUGAGCUCGAUGAGUAGGGCGGGACACGUGGUAUCCUGUCUGAAUAUGGGGGGACCAUCCUCCAAGGCUAAAUACUCCUGACUGACCGAUAGUGAACCAGUACCGUGAGGGAAAGGCGAAAAGAACCCCGGCGAGGGGAGUGAAAAAGAACCUGAAACCGUGUACGUACAAGCAGUGGGAGCACGCUUAGGCGUGUGACUGCGUACCUUUUGUAUAAUGGGUCAGCGACUUAUAUUCUGUAGCAAGGUUAACCGAAUAGGGGAGCCGAAGGGAAACCGAGUCUUAACUGGGCGUUAAGUUGCAGGGUAUAGACCCGAAACCCGGUGAUCUAGCCAUGGGCAGGUUGAAGGUUGGGUAACACUAACUGGAGGACCGAACCGACUAAUGUUGAAAAAUUAGCGGAUGACUUGUGGCUGGGGGUGAAAGGCCAAUCAAACCGGGAGAUAGCUGGUUCUCCCCGAAAGCUAUUUAGGUAGCGCCUCGUGAAUUCAUCUCCGGGGGUAGAGCACUGUUUCGGCAAGGGGGUCAUCCCGACUUACCAACCCGAUGCAAACUGCGAAUACCGGAGAAUGUUAUCACGGGAGACACACGGCGGGUGCUAACGUCCGUCGUGAAGAGGGAAACAACCCAGACCGCCAGCUAAGGUCCCAAAGUCAUGGUUAAGUGGGAAACGAUGUGGGAAGGCCCAGACAGCCAGGAUGUUGGCUUAGAAGCAGCCAUCAUUUAAAGAAAGCGUAAUAGCUCACUGGUCGAGUCGGCCUGCGCGGAAGAUGUAACGGGGCUAAACCAUGCACCGAAGCUGCGGCAGCGACGCUUAUGCGUUGUUGGGUAGGGGAGCGUUCUGUAAGCCUGCGAAGGUGUACUGUGAGGUAUGCUGGAGGUAUCAGAAGUGCGAAUGCUGACAUAAGUAACGAUAAAGCGGGUGAAAAGCCCGCUCGCCGGAAGACCAAGGGUUCCUGUCCAACGUUAAUCGGGGCAGGGUGAGUCGACCCCUAAGGCGAGGCCGAAAGGCGUAGUCGAUGGGAAACAGGUUAAUAUUCCUGUACUUGGUGUUACUGCGAAGGGGGGACGGAGAAGGCUAUGUUGGCCGGGCGACGGUUGUCCCGGUUUAAGCGUGUAGGCUGGUUUUCCAGGCAAAUCCGGAAAAUCAAGGCUGAGGCGUGAUGACGAGGCACUACGGUGCUGAAGCAACAAAUGCCCUGCUUCCAGGAAAAGCCUCUAAGCAUCAGGUAACAUCAAAUCGUACCCCAAACCGACACAGGUGGUCAGGUAGAGAAUACCAAGGCGCUUGAGAGAACUCGGGUGAAGGAACUAGGCAAAAUGGUGCCGUAACUUCGGGAGAAGGCACGCUGAUACGUAGGUGAAGUCCCUCGCGGAUGGAGCUGAAAUCAGUCGAAGAUACCAGCUGGCUGCAACUGUUUAUUAAAAACACAGCACUGUGCAAACACGAAAGUGGACGUAUACGGUGUGACGCCUGCCCGGUGCCGGAAGGUUAAUUGAUGGGGUCAGCGCAAGCGAAGCUCUUGAUCGAAGCCCCGGUAAACGGCGGCCGUAACUAUAACGGUCCUAAGGUAGCGAAAUUCCUUGUCGGGUAAGUUCCGACCUGCACGAAUGGCGUAAUGAUGGCCAGGCUGUCUCCACCCGAGACUCAGUGAAAUUGAACUCGCUGUGAAGAUGCAGUGUACCCGCGGCAAGACGGAAAGACCCCGUGAACCUUUACUAUAGCUUGACACUGAACAUUGAGCCUUGAUGUGUAGGAUAGGUGGGAGGCUUUGAAGUGUGGACGCCAGUCUGCAUGGAGCCGACCUUGAAAUACCACCCUUUAAUGUUUGAUGUUCUAACGUGGACCCGUAAUCCGGGUUGCGGACAGUGUCUGGUGGGUAGUUUGACUGGGGCGGUCUCCUCCUAAAGAGUAACGGAGGAGCACGAAGGUUGGCUAAUCCUGGUCGGACAUCAGGAGGUUAGUGCAAUGGCAUAAGCCAGCUUGACUGCGAGCGUGACGGCGCGAGCAGGUGCGAAAGCAGGUCAUAGUGAUCCGGUGGUUCUGAAUGGAAGGGCCAUCGCUCAACGGAUAAAAGGUACUCCGGGGAUAACAGGCUGAUACCGCCCAAGAGUUCAUAUCGACGGCGGUGUUUGGCACCUCGAUGUCGGCUCAUCACAUCCUGGGGCUGAAGUAGGUCCCAAGGGUAUGGCUGUUCGCCAUUUAAAGUGGUACGCGAGCUGGGUUUAGAACGUCGUGAGACAGUUCGGUCCCUAUCUGCCGUGGGCGCUGGAGAACUGAGGGGGGCUGCUCCUAGUACGAGAGGACCGGAGUGGACGCAUCACUGGUGUUCGGGUUGUCAUGCCAAUGGCACUGCCCGGUAGCUAAAUGCGGAAGAGAUAAGUGCUGAAAGCAUCUAAGCACGAAACUUGCCCCGAGAUGAGUUCUCCCUGACUCCUUGAGAGUCCUGAAGGAACGUUGAAGACGACGACGUUGAUAGGCCGGGUGUGUAAGCGCAGCGAUGCGUUGAGCUAACCGGUACUAAUGAACCGUGAGGCUUAACCUU
Molecule: ribosomal RNA, 2904 nt
Filed under: Escherichia coli
Lineage: Bacteria; Pseudomonadati; Pseudomonadota; Gammaproteobacteria; Enterobacterales; Enterobacteriaceae
Description: 23S ribosomal RNA
Rfam family: Bacterial large subunit ribosomal RNA
Source: RNAcentral